This 296-nucleotide long non-coding RNA is filed under the name Dasypus novemcinctus (nine-banded armadillo). Its description in RNAcentral is "lncRNA (ENSDNOG00000052217.1)". The record is from RNAcentral. Lineage: Eukaryota; Metazoa; Chordata; Mammalia; Cingulata; Dasypodidae.
GGAGCCCACCAGCAAGGAUGACUUCAGAAGAAGGUUUAUGUGUGAAUGGAAUAGAGGCUCCUUAAAACCAGCCCCUGCAAGGAAUGGAACUCGUGGCAGUUUCCCUGGACAGACAUAAGCACGUCUUUGAACUCAAGAUGGGACUCGGAGCAGCAGGUGUAACACAAGGAAGGCGACCAUGGAGGCAGGAAGCCAGGGGUCUAGUUCCACCUCCCACCUGCAAGGAGCUGCGUCACCUCCUCAAGUCUUCUAGGGCCUCGGCCCUCUCACCCGUGGAGUGGGGUGCUGCGCUCCCA